UAAAAGGCCUUUGCUUGUGCAAAACCAUUUAGAUGUACCACUCUGAUUUGAUGGCCACUGAGACCAGUGGAGUUGAAUAGAUCCAGAUGAGAAGACAGAACAUACACAUAGAAAGUUCGGCCAUCCAGCUGGAGAACCACCUGGAGCUUGAGGCUGUUGUGAGAGAAACUUCUCCUCAAAUGUUGACUUUGUAGAACUACUAGAUCUUGAGGAAAGCCA
Molecule: long non-coding RNA, 219 nt
Filed under: Helianthus annuus (common sunflower)
Lineage: Eukaryota; Viridiplantae; Streptophyta; Magnoliopsida; Asterales; Asteraceae
Description: hypothetical non coding rna
Source: RNAcentral